CAGUUGGUGAGAGAAGUGAUGUAACAAGGUGCGCCAAGAUGGAGAAGGACAGAAACAAGAUGGCCACCAAGAUACUAAGCCUGACCCUGGAGAUCAUCUACCUGCUGACCGGAGAGGAUUAUGUUGUGGUGAGGAAGUCGGGUGAGGACCAUAUUUCGGGAGGUCAUAGCAGAACCCGGAGCCCCGUCACAGAACCUGCACUUCCCUCGCUGGCUUCUGAGAGAGUCAGUGAUCGCAAGAUCCUGGAACUGAUCAC
Nanorana parkeri is the source of this 256-nucleotide long non-coding RNA. RefSeq lists it as uncharacterized. Lineage: Eukaryota; Metazoa; Chordata; Amphibia; Anura; Dicroglossidae. The record is from RefSeq and is a predicted model, not a curated record. The transcript has 3 exons.